RNAcentral lists this transfer RNA (89 nucleotides) under Caudoviricetes sp. RNAcentral describes it as "tRNA-Tyr". It matches the Rfam family "tRNA". From Rfam's summary of the family: Transfer RNA (tRNA) molecules are approximately 80 nucleotides in length. Their secondary structure includes four short double-helical elements and three loops (D, anti-codon, and T loops). Further hydrogen bonds mediate the characteristic L-shaped molecular structure. tRNAs have two regions of fundamental functional importance: the anti-codon, which is responsible for specific mRNA codon recognition, and the 3' end, to which the tRNAs corresponding amino acid is attached (by aminoacyl-tRNA synthetases). tRNAs cope with the degeneracy of the genetic code in two manners: having more than one tRNA (with a specific anti-codon) for a particular amino acid; and 'wobble' base-pairing, i.e. permitting non-standard base-pairing at the 3rd anti-codon position. Lineage: Duplodnaviria; Heunggongvirae; Uroviricota; Caudoviricetes. The record is from RNAcentral.
GGGGAGGUGGCUGAGAGGCUGAAAGCAGCAGACUGUAAAUCUGCCGUGUUCAUGACACCGCGGUGGUUCGAAUCCAUCCCUCCCCACCA